UGCCUCUCCUGCAGCCUUGCCUCAGCGCUGUGCCAGCUCCUACAACGCUGCUUCUCACUUCUUCGUCCGUGUAAGCUCACCACUAUUCUCGUCUGUUUUCCCCUACGAAUCUCCUCUGUUUCCUCUACAAAUCUGGCUUUUUACUACUGUAUUAUCUUCCUUGUUGCAACCGGCUAAUCUAUAUUGUGAUUUUCCACUCCAACAGGUGUUCAUCCGUUGCUAUAUUCACCCAUUGUUUCUAGCUCCGAUCCAGAAGCACUUUCAUUGCUCUUCUAUUAUUUAUUCAGGUUAGUGUCCCCGCUCAAAAUAGUAUUCUUACUUUUUGUUGUUGCCUGCCAGUGGGUUUCUUUUUUCUUAUCUCUGUUGCACUUUACUAAUUUAACAAGUGAUUUCCUACUUCAACAGGUUUUUAUCCAUCAGUGCUUCCAGAAGUAAUUCGAAUCCUAGUAUUUUGAUAUAUUCAGGCCAU
This 469-nucleotide long non-coding RNA is filed under the name Triticum aestivum (bread wheat). RNAcentral describes it as "long non-coding RNA (TAES_LNC002542)". Lineage: Eukaryota; Viridiplantae; Streptophyta; Magnoliopsida; Poales; Poaceae. The record is from RNAcentral.